GACGAACGCUGGCGGCGUGCCUAAUACAUGCAAGUUGAGCGCUGAAGGUUGGUACUUGUACCCACUGGAUGAGCAGCGAACGGGUGAGUAACGCGUGGGGAAUCUGCCUUUGAGCGGGGGACAACAUUUGGAAACGAAUGCUAAUACCGCAUAAAAACUUUAAACACAAGUUUUAAGUUUGAAAGAUGCAAUUGCAUCACUCAAAGAUGAUCCCGCGUUGUAUUAGCUAGUUGGUGAGGUAAAGGCUCACCAAGGCGAUGAUACAUAGCCGACCUGAGAGGGGGGUCGGCCACAUUGGGACUGAGACACGGCCCAAAAUCCUACGGGAGGCAGCAGGAGGGAAUCUUCGGCAAAGGACGAAAGUCUGACCGAGCAACGCCGCGUGAGUGAAGAAGGGUUUCGGAUCGUAAAACUCUGUUGGUAGAGAAGAACGUUGGUGAGAGUGGAAAGCUCAUCAAGUGACGGUAACUACCCAGAAAGGGACGGCUAACUACGUG
Molecule: ribosomal RNA, 497 nt
Filed under: uncultured bacterium
Lineage: Bacteria
Description: partial 16S ribosomal RNA
Rfam family: Bacterial small subunit ribosomal RNA
Source: RNAcentral